GAUGAAGAACGUAGUGAAAUGCGAUAAGUAAUGUGAAUUGCAGAAUUCAGUGAAUCAUCGAAUCUUUGAACGCACAUUGCGCCCGCCAGAAUACUGGCGGGCAUGCCUGUUCGAGCGUCAUUUCAACCCUCAAGCCCAGCUUGGUGUUGGGGAUCGGCACAGGCGCCCUCGGGCGCCCGCCGUCCCCUAAAUCUAGUGGCGGUCCCGCUGCAGCCUCCUCUGCGUAGUAGUUUUCUCCUCGCAAGGGCAGCUCGGUGGCGACCUCGCCGUAAAACCCCCAACUUCUGAAAGGUUGACCUCGAAUCAGGUAGGAAUACCCGCUGAACUUAAGCAUAUCAAUAAGCGGAGGA
RNAcentral lists this unclassified non-coding RNA (350 nucleotides) under soil metagenome. Its description in RNAcentral is "partial contains 5.8S ribosomal RNA, internal transcribed spacer 2, and large subunit ribosomal RNA". The stretch from base 1 to 120 matches the Rfam family "5.8S ribosomal RNA", at positions 35 to 154 of the family's 154-position model. The record is from RNAcentral.